AGAAAGUUAGUCUAGAUAAGACAGUUGAUUUCGACUCAACAAACCAUAGCCCAACCUAUGACUUUCUU
Molecule: transfer RNA, 68 nt
Filed under: Sarothrura rufa (red-chested flufftail)
Lineage: Eukaryota; Metazoa; Chordata; Aves; Gruiformes; Rallidae
Description: tRNA-Arg
Source: RNAcentral